This 221-nucleotide small nucleolar RNA is filed under the name Castor canadensis (American beaver). RNAcentral describes it as "Small nucleolar RNA U3 (ENSCCNG00000003694.1)". It matches the Rfam family "Small nucleolar RNA U3". Rfam says of the family: Small nucleolar RNAs (snoRNAs) are involved in the processing and modification of rRNA in the nucleolus. There are two main classes of snoRNAs: the box C/D class, and the box H/ACA class. U3 snoRNA is a member of the box C/D class. The record is from Rfam by way of RNAcentral. Lineage: Eukaryota; Metazoa; Chordata; Mammalia; Rodentia; Castoridae.
AAGAUUAUACUUUCAGGAAUCACUUUUAUAGUUUGUUAGUAUAGAAGUUUUUCUGAAUGUGUAGUGUACUGGAAACCAAGAGGAGGAUUUGAGGUAUUCUCUCCUGAAUGUGAAGCUGGCUCUUGGUGUUGCUGUAAUGUAACUGCCAUUUACCAUUGAUGAUUGCUUUUUCUCCUUUUUGUGGGGGGGGGGUAAGAGGGAGAGGAUGCAUUUUGAGUAGU